CCUGAUCCAGCAAUGCCGCGUGAGUGAAGAAGGCCUUCGGGUUGUAAAGCUCUUUUGUCAGGGAAGAAACGGUAGUAGNNAAUAACUAUUACUAAUGACGGUACCUGAAGAAUAAGCACCGGCUAACUACGUGCCAGCAGCCGCGGUAAUACGUAGGGUGCAAGCGUUAAUCGGAAUUACUGGGCGUAAAGCGUGCGCAGGCGGUUGUGUAAGACAGAUGUGAAAUCCCCGGGCUCAACCUGGGAAUUGCAUUUGAGACUGCACGGCUAGAGUGUGUCAGAGGGGGGUAGAAUUCCACGUGUAGCAGUGAAAUGCGUAGAUAUGUGGAGGAAUACCGAUGGCGAAGGCAGCCCCCUGGGAUAACACUGACGCUCAUGCACGAAAGCGUGGGGAGCAAACAGGAUUAGAUACCCUGGUAGUCCACGCCCUAAACGAUGUCUACUAGUUGUCGGGUCUUAAUUGACUUGGUAACGCAGCUAACGCGUGAAGUA
RNAcentral lists this ribosomal RNA (491 nucleotides) under uncultured beta proteobacterium. RNAcentral's name for it is "bacterial SSU rRNA". It matches the Rfam family "Bacterial small subunit ribosomal RNA", at positions 382 to 866 of the family's 1533-position model. The record is from RNAcentral. Lineage: Bacteria; Pseudomonadati; Pseudomonadota; Betaproteobacteria.